RNAcentral lists this non-coding RNA (45 nucleotides) under Schistosoma margrebowiei. The record is from RNAcentral. Lineage: Eukaryota; Metazoa; Platyhelminthes; Trematoda; Strigeidida; Schistosomatidae.
ACCCAGCUGAUGAGUCCCAAUCAGGGCGAAUCGCGCGUCCUGGAU